RNAcentral lists this transfer RNA (86 nucleotides) under Euglena longa. Its description in RNAcentral is "transfer RNA-Ser (UGA)". It matches the Rfam family "tRNA". Rfam says of the family: Transfer RNA (tRNA) molecules are approximately 80 nucleotides in length. Their secondary structure includes four short double-helical elements and three loops (D, anti-codon, and T loops). Further hydrogen bonds mediate the characteristic L-shaped molecular structure. tRNAs have two regions of fundamental functional importance: the anti-codon, which is responsible for specific mRNA codon recognition, and the 3' end, to which the tRNAs corresponding amino acid is attached (by aminoacyl-tRNA synthetases). tRNAs cope with the degeneracy of the genetic code in two manners: having more than one tRNA (with a specific anti-codon) for a particular amino acid; and 'wobble' base-pairing, i.e. permitting non-standard base-pairing at the 3rd anti-codon position. Lineage: Eukaryota; Euglenozoa; Euglenophyceae; Euglenales; Euglenaceae. The record is from RNAcentral.
AGAGAAGUGUCUGAGCGGUUAAAAGUACUGGUUUUGAAAAUCAGAAUAGAUUAAAUCUAUCGAGGGUUCGAAUCCCUCCUUCUCUU